Molecule: non-coding RNA, 183 nt
Filed under: Bacillus sp. (in: firmicutes)
Lineage: Bacteria; Bacillati; Bacillota; Bacilli; Caryophanales; Bacillaceae
Also listed under: 1 other name
Description: Bacillus sp. Lysine sequence
Rfam family: Lysine riboswitch aptamer
About the family: Riboswitches are metabolite binding domains within certain messenger RNAs that serve as precision sensors for their corresponding targets.
Source: RNAcentral
UGAUGAGGUAGAGGCGCGGUAUUUAAUAGUCUGUAGUGGAGCUUGAGAAGCUAGGAUGCUAGAGAGAAGGAAAUAUCGCCGAAGCUUGUAAUAUUCUCAGUAUUGCUUGCUGGGUCUGCAGUUAAGAACUGCAGGACUGUCUCAAUGAACUUACCCGGUUUGUUGAGUUGUGCUAUCUCAUUU